This is a long non-coding RNA of Cephus cinctus (wheat stem sawfly), 2058 nucleotides long. RefSeq lists it as uncharacterized. The record is from RefSeq and is a predicted model, not a curated record. Lineage: Eukaryota; Metazoa; Arthropoda; Insecta; Hymenoptera; Cephidae. The transcript has 4 exons.
CCCUCGGCCAUUUUAGUACGAAAGGAUCGAAUGAUUCACAAUUCUGUAAAUACUGAUUAUUGCCGAUUUCUUCUUCGGGUAUGUUUCUCUUAUUACUCGUGGGGUCUCGUGAUUGAAGAGAAUUUUUUACGUGAUAUAUAUAUAUAUAUAUCAGCGUCGACAUGGGGAAUUUAUUAUUAUAGGCGGAGAUCGUCAUUUGGUCGACACUGAGCCUUCUUUAUAGUAUCUGCGAGACUGCAUGAGAAAUAUUGUGAGAUUUUAGUGACAGUACCUUCGUACACGGGGAUUUUCCUUUUUCUUUACGGGUUAUUCGAUUUGUAGAUAUAAUCAGGAGGUUCUUUGGAAAUCGCCAUUUUUAUGAGAUUGCUCCCGCUUCCUUCUGUACCUCAGGGUGAGAAGGAAUGGGGAUAACAAGAAAAAUGCCCAAGCCCAUUUCGUACGAACACCAGAAUGGAUGAGAUAUAGAGAUAUAAAGAUUGCAGAUAACUAUAUUAUUACGCUGUAGUAAUAUUAGACAUUUCUAUAUAUAUACAUAUAUAUAUAUAGAAAGUAUAAGGUGAACGUUAUAAUUGUGUAUAAGAAAUGAAUACGCCGCUGGCCAAAGCUGCGAAUCCAUUAGAUGAUUAUGAUGAUGAGGAUGUGUAAUAAUGAUAACAAGACAACACAAUAAUAUUAACGAUAGUCAUACUGAAUUAUUAUUAACAAUUAUUACUGUACAAUUUACAAGAAUCACUAAUCAAUAGCUGUCUUCUUGUAGUAUUAUUGCCAAGGCAUUUAUUGAUUUUAUAUAAUAAACGGUGCAAAAUUAACGUCGUUGGAUGAUAAUGCUUUUAUUCAUCUCAUUCCAACAAAGAUUGUAUUUCUAAUUAACAAUUACAACGUAUGAUUGUACUGCUGGUAAUCUUGCAUCAGUAUUCAGUCUCAUUAUUGCUGCGUCUAUUACAGUUUUCGUUGCCAAUUAACCGAUUUUCAUUGUCCAAGUUUUAUUUCGGCAUCAAAGCGCCACCUGAGCGGAGAGCUGUCGAACCAAUCUCACAUUUCUGAUUGGCCGAGUAGAUGUAGUAUACUACGCAUGAUAUUCGUGAGCUCCGUGAGACGCAUGGAUUUAUACCGGGUGGCACUCUGAAGCGUAUGUAUUUUCGGAUCGACGCGCCACCUGGAUGGAGGACCCUGGAACCAGUCCCACGUUUGUGAUUCGUCGAAUGAUAUCUUAAGCAAACCCCAAUCAUGGAUAAUACGAGAUAUAUAAAUUUCUCGAUUUUUUUUUUACCACGAUAACUGAACAGCACACGUGCAUGGUGUUUUGGUAGCGCAUGAGCAGUCUCGGCUUCGAGACUCAGUCAUCAACUUUUUUUUUUAUAUUGAUUUGCUCACUAUGCUCAUUGGUUUUAUUAAUUACCCUAGGAUUGAAUAAAUACAUGAGUAUAUUUUAGUAUUUACAUUUUAUUAUACUAUUUACAUAAAAUAAAUACAUAAAUCAGCGAGCGUUUCUUCUUACCGAAAGCCCGUGAGUAACAAACCGAGCAGAUGGAACAUAAGCACAAGCAGGAAACGAAAAUUUACAUGGAAAACGCACUGGCCUGUGCGGGCACGUGGGCCCUCGCAGCCAUCAGGUACCGGGUUCGCGGCCGGGUAUUAUUUUUGUUUUUCUUUAAUCAGGCCAUGCUGCGACCACGGACACAUUGAAAACAAAAUUAUUGGAGAACUGUAUGUACGUCAGUAACGCAGAAACACCCUCUCAUCAGGCGGCAUGUCGACGCCGAAAUAAGACUUGGAUCAUGAAAAUCAGCUCAUUGCGUACCCUAAAAAGGCUCAAACCCCUGCCGGGACACCCAUAAGGUUCUGUUGCGGUCACAACUUGUGCCCGACCCACUGAGCAAACUCAGCGGAUGAAGCGGAAGGGCAAUACCUGACACCAUGGUGUAUACGUAUGGCUACUCUAACAAGGUUAUCCAGCUAUUCGUGAAUCGCAAAGAAGGACUAAUUGUAAGAGUGGCAUCACUUUCAAUGAUGACAAGUCUGCCAGCACAGCCUGUAAAAAAAAGUAUUUAUAUGAGG